RNAcentral lists this ribosomal RNA (503 nucleotides) under uncultured bacterium. Its description in RNAcentral is "partial 16S ribosomal RNA". It matches the Rfam family "Bacterial small subunit ribosomal RNA", at positions 30 to 523 of the family's 1533-position model. The record is from RNAcentral.
AUUGAACGCUGGCGGCAUGCCUUACACAUGCAAGUCGAGCGGGGUGAUGGUGCUUGCACUAUCACUUAGCGGCGGACGGGUGAGUAGUGCUUAGGAAUCUGCCUAUUAGUGGGGGACAACAUCUCGAACGGGAUGCUAAUACCGCAUACGUCCUACGGGAGAAAGCAGGGGAUCACUUGUGACCUUGCGCUAAUAGAUGAGCAUAAGUCGGAUUAGCUAGUUGGUGGGGUAAAGGCCUACCAAGGCGACGAUCUGUAGCGGGUCUGAGAGGAUGAUCCGCCACACUGGGACGGGGACACGGCCCAGACUCCUACGGGAAGCAGCAGUAGGGAAUAUUGGACAAUGGGGGGAACCCUGAUCCAGCCAUGCCGCGUGUGUGAAGAAGGCCUUAUGGUUGUAAAGCACUUUAAGCGAGGAGGAGGCUCGUUUGGUUAAUACCCAAGAUGAGUGGACGUUACUCGCAGAAUAAGCACCGGCUAACUCUGUGCCAGCAGCCGCAGUAA